GUCGUGCAUGUCCUCCUAGACGCGUCCUCCGCAAGCAAGGAGCCUGAGGCACCCCGUUCGCGUGCUGUAGCGCCCCUGCAGCCGAGGCAGAGCCUCCUCCUGCCCGCGCCGUCGUCGGCUGGUCGCCUGAGGCGCCGCCCCGGGCCUGCGACCCCGUGCUGCUCACCGGGAACGUGUCGCUGUCGGCGAGCACCUCCCCCAGGCACCAUCGUAGCCCGAGGGGAGCUUCGCCCGCGUCGGCCUGGAGUCCUUCGUCGCGCCGCCGGCGAGAUCCGGCAUGGUUCCAGCUCGACCCCUCCUGUCGUUGCCAUCCAGGAGCACCUCAACCUCCUCCCGCCUCGUUCUUCACCACGACCAGGCAGCCCCAAGUGCGCAUGCCUUGCCUCCGACCAUCUCCAUAGCCCGCACCCCUGCAGCUUCGGGACCAGCAGUGGGCACCAGCUCACCGGGAUCAUCGUCCCCAUGUCAUGGUGCCCAAGCUCGUGGCUCCCGGAGCUUCGUCGGACGCCUCCAGCACCGGGAACGAGAUCCCUCGCCCGCGCCUGCCUCCAACGUGUGUUCCACGAGCUCCCCUGCACCCGAGCCUCCCCUCGAGCAGUUCUGCAGUCCCCUGUCGAGCUCGCCCCAAGCUCGACCCCGCCGCCGCUGCCCAGCACCUGAGACCAACCUCUCCUCUGGCCGUGCCUGCGAGCAGCUGCUGGAGCCGCCGCGCCGCCCCGUCAGCCGACGAGGUCCUGGCCGCGCCUCCCCCCUUGCCCUUUCUUCUCCUCCCUCUAUUUUACCUCUGCUCUCUCUAAUCUCUGCAGGUCUCUCUCAGGAGCUCACCCGUGGCCUCCCCUGCACGUCGCCGCCCCGGAUUGACCUAGCCCCGAGGUCCUCGUCGCUGGGCCAGGAGCACCUCGUCGUCCUAGACCUCGCCGCCGUCGGGGACCAGCACUGAGGAACAGAACGAAGGUUGGUGCAGCCCCACCAUGGAUGCCCUUGCUGCCCUGCAACUCCCCAUCCGCCGUCGUUCUCCAAUGGAUCCGGUCGAUACUUGCUAGGCCCGCCCAUUCCCGGCCUGGGACAGCCCCGUCGAAGCCUCCAAGUCCCUCCGGAUCGACGAUUGACCCCGUCUAGAACAACCAUGGACGAGCAGUUUCAGUAAGUUGCAGGUACAGGUAAAGGUUACUUGACGCGAGCGCGUUGAUUGUUCAUUUGGGGUUGCUUCUUCUUCUUCUUCUUCAUCGAUCUAGGAUGGGUUCCAGGCCGGCAGCCCGGGAUAGCAAGGAUGGACGUCGUUCUUCUUUUGUCGUUUGUUUUCGUCCGUAGUCGGACCCUGCUCUUACUCUUGUUGUUUAUGUAAUGUACUGAUGUGACUCUGAUGUAGCUUGUGGCGAGUGUAAGCCAACCCUUUAUAUAUCUCUCCUUUUCAG
Molecule: RNA transcript, 1415 nt
Organism: Hordeum vulgare subsp. vulgare (domesticated barley)
Lineage: Eukaryota; Viridiplantae; Streptophyta; Magnoliopsida; Poales; Poaceae
Gene name: wiskott-Aldrich syndrome protein homolog 1-like
Exons: 3
Source: RefSeq, a predicted model, not a curated record